GGCCGGUUAGCUCAGUUGGUUAGAGCGUGGUGCCAAAGAGCGUGGUGCCAAUAACGCCAAGAUCGCGGGUUCGACCUCCGUGCGGGCCA
RNAcentral lists this transfer RNA (89 nucleotides) under Nomascus leucogenys (northern white-cheeked gibbon). It matches the Rfam family "tRNA". From Rfam's summary of the family: Transfer RNA (tRNA) molecules are approximately 80 nucleotides in length. Their secondary structure includes four short double-helical elements and three loops (D, anti-codon, and T loops). Lineage: Eukaryota; Metazoa; Chordata; Mammalia; Primates; Hylobatidae. The record is from Rfam by way of RNAcentral.